Molecule: long non-coding RNA, 831 nt
Filed under: Bemisia tabaci
Lineage: Eukaryota; Metazoa; Arthropoda; Insecta; Hemiptera; Aleyrodidae
Description: lncRNA ENSSWEETPG013614
Source: RNAcentral
UAGUAGCAAAAUUUGGCUCGCGAAGCGAGCCAACAGUCACUCGCGGGGCGAGUGACUGGGGGUCCAGGGGGCGAAGCCACCGGCUAGCGGCGCAAGCGAGCGUAGCGAGCUGAAGCAGCUAGUACAUGUAACUCAUCUUAUUUAAUGAUAACGUCUUCAUCACAUCAAAAGUAACAGAUUACUCUUUCCGUCCGAUUGACGUAAAGAUAUGGUCGGCUGGUGAACAGUUAGACAAAUUGAGUGUUAUGACGUUGACGAUGCGUGGACGAUGGAAACUCUUUACUUUUUAUAAAUUAAGUUUACUUUAAUACCUACCCCAUAGAAUGUUUUACUAUCAGAGGAAAUGAUUCGGAAUUCACUUGAAUCUUGGUCUUUUUUAUUAAUAUUAGGUGGUGAUUCCUAGACCGAGGCAGAACUAUAAUGUUGAAUGUUGUGAUUACUCUCUAUAAGAUUGAUACAAUGCACAUUACUUUUUGCGUUAUAGUCCUUUUUCAAAUUAUCAUGUUAAAUUUUCACGUUCUGGCAACCCCUAAAACUGCAAGAACACCAAGACCACCAAAAAAAUCCCCGGCCGAAAUCAAGGAGAGGUUGCUCGAGUUCAACAUCGUCCCUGAUAUCAUACCCUCUGUUGGUUGUCCUAGACAUGAAAUCCAGGUAGUCUGGCCUAAAGCAAGAGCUAAACUUGGGAAUCCUAUUCCAUCAGUAUACACAAUGACACAGCCUGAAGUUUCUUGGGCUGCAAGGCAAGGGCAAUACUACACUUUACUUAUGGUUGAUCCAGACAGAGAUAAAGGUACGCAAUUUAAGGAUCAUGAUUCCAAUGUUGGUUGA